Molecule: ribosomal RNA, 406 nt
Filed under: uncultured bacterium
Lineage: Bacteria
Description: partial 16S ribosomal RNA
Rfam family: Bacterial small subunit ribosomal RNA
Source: RNAcentral
GAUGAACGCUGACGGAAUGCUUAACACAUCAGCAAUUGAUUGGUGGCGGACGGGUGAGUAACGCGUAAAUAACUUGCCUCACAGCUAGGGACAACAUUUGGAAACGAAUGCUAAUACAUAAUACUGUGAGAGAGCUUUGCGUCCCAUUAGCUAGUUGGCGAGGUAACGGCUCACCAAGGCGAGGAUGGGUAGCCGGCCUGAGAGGGUGAUCGGCCACAAGGGGACUGAGACACGGCCCUUACUCCUACGGGAGGCAGGAGGGAGGAAUAUUGGAUAAUGGACCAAAGUCUGAUACAGCAAUUCUGUGUGAACGAUGAAGUUUUCGGAAUGUAAAGUGCUUUUAGUUGGGAAGCGGUACCAACAGAAGAAGUGACGGCUAAAUACGUGCCAGCAGCCGCGGUAAUUC